RNAcentral lists this ribosomal RNA (471 nucleotides) under Bacteroidetes bacterium U-3. RNAcentral describes it as "bacterial SSU rRNA". It matches the Rfam family "Bacterial small subunit ribosomal RNA", at positions 28 to 492 of the family's 1533-position model. Lineage: Bacteria; Pseudomonadati; Bacteroidota. The record is from RNAcentral.
GAUGAACGCUAGCGGCAGGCCUAACACAUGCAAGUCGAGGGGCAGCGGGGAUAAGCUUGCUUAUCCGCCGGCGACCGGCGCACGGGUGCGCAACGCGUAUAGAAUCUGCCCUGUACUGGGGAAUAGCCCAGAGAAAUUUGGAUUAAUGCCCCAUGGUAUGUAUUAGCGGCAUCGCUUAUACAUUAAAGGCUACGGUACAGGAUGACUAUGCGUCCCAUUAGUUAGUUGGUAAGGUAACGGCUUACCAAGGCAGCGAUGGGUAGGGGCCCUGAGAGGGGGAUCCCCCACACUGGUACUGAGACACGGACCAGACUCCUACGGGAGGCAGCAGUGAGGAAUAUUGGACAAUGGGCGGGAGCCUGAUCCAGCCAUGCCGCGUGCAGGAAGACGGUCCUAUGGAUUGUAAACUGCUUUUGUACGGGAAGAACAAGGGGCACGUGUGCCCCUCUGACGGUACCGUAAGAAUAAGGA